GUAGGUGAACCUGCGGAAGGAUCAUUAUUGAAAUAAACUGAUAGGUUGUUGCUGGUUCUCUAGGGAACAUGUGCACACUUGUCAUCUUUAUAUCUCCACCUGUGCACCUUUUGUAGACCUGGAUAUCUCUCUGAGUGCUUGCACUUGGGUUUGAGGAUUGACUUUGUCUUUUCUUACAUUUCCAGGCCUAUGUAUCUUCAUAUACCCUAAUGUAUGUUAUAGAAUGUAAUAAAUGGGCCUUGUGCCUAUAAACCUAUACAACUUUCAGCAACGGAUCUCUUGGCUCUC
This 288-nucleotide unclassified non-coding RNA is filed under the name rhizosphere metagenome. RNAcentral describes it as "partial ribosomal RNA internal transcribed spacer region". The record is from RNAcentral.